This 1488-nucleotide ribosomal RNA is filed under the name uncultured prokaryote. Its description in RNAcentral is "partial 16S ribosomal RNA". It matches the Rfam family "Bacterial small subunit ribosomal RNA". The record is from RNAcentral.
AGAGUUUGAUCCUGGCUCAGGAUGAACGCUAGCGGCAGGCUUAACACAUGCAAGUCGAACGGUAACAGGGAAAAGCUUGCUUUUCUGCUGACGAGUGGCGAACGGGUGCGUAACACGUAUGCAACUUACCUUUAACAGGGGGAUAGCCCAGAGAAAUCUGGAUUAAUACCCCAUAACAUUAUCAUUUCGCAUGUUAUGAUAAUUAAAACUUCGGUGGUUAGAGAUAGGCAUGCGUCCCAUUAGUUAGUUGGUAAGGUAACGGCUUACCAAGACAGCGAUGGGUAGGGGGUCUGAGAGGAUGAUCCCCCACACUGGUACUGAGACACGGACCAGACUCCUACGGGAGGCAGCAGUGAGGAAUAUUGGGCAAUGGACGAAAGUCUGACCCAGCCAUGCCGCGUGCAGGAAGAAUGCCCUAUGGGUUGUAAACUGCUUUUAUAUACCAAGAAACGCAGGUACGUGUACCUGUCUGACGGUAGUAUAUGAAUAAGCACCGGCUAACUCCGUGCCAGCAGCCGCGGUAAUACGGAGGGUGCAAGCGUUAUCCGGAUUUAUUGGGUUUAAAGGGUUCGUAGGCGGGACUUUAAGUCAGUGGUGAAAGCCUAUAGCUCAACUAUAGAAUUGCCAUUGAUACUGAAGUUCUUGAGUACACUUGAAGUUAGCGGAAUGUAUCAUGUAGCGGUGAAAUGCAUAGAUAUGAUACAGAACACCGAUUGCGAAGGCAGCUAACUAAAUUGUCACUGACGCUGAGGAACGAAAGCGUGGGGAGCGAACAGGAUUAGAUACCCUGGUAGUCCACGCUGUAAACGAUGAUCACUCGAUAUUGGCGAUAUACUGUCAGUGUCCAAGCGAAAGUGUUAAGUAAUCCACCUGGGGAGUACGAUCGCAAGAUUGAAACUCAAAGGAAUUGACGGGGGCCCGCACAAGCGGUGGAGCAUGUGGUUUAAUUCGAUGAUACGCGAGGAACCUUACCAGGGCUUAAAUGCAGAACGACAGGCUGGGAAACCAGCUCUUCUUCGGACGGACUGCAAGGUGCUGCAUGGUUGUCGUCAGCUCGUGCCGUGAGGUGUCGGGUUAAGUCCCAUAACGAGCGCAACCCCUAUUCUUAGUUGCCAGCGAGUAAUGUCGGGGACUCUAAGAAAACUGCCUGCGUAAGCAGUGAGGAAGGUGGGGAUGACGUCAAAUCAUCACGGCCCUUACGUCCUGGGCCACACACGUGCUACAAUGGUAUAGACAAAGGGCAGCUACCUGGUGACAGGAUGCUAAUCUCUAAACUAUAUCUCAGUUCGGAUUGAAGUCUGCAACUCGACUUCAUGAAGCUGGAAUCGCUAGUAAUCGCGCAUCAGCCAUGGCGCGGUGAAUACGUUCCCGGGCCUUGUACACACCGCCCGUCAAGCCAUGGAAGCUGGGGGUGCCUGAAGUCGGUAACCAUAUAGGAGCUGCCUAGGGUAAAACUAGUGACUGGGGCUAAGUCGUAACAAGGUAGCC